GUCUCAUUCGCAGGCCUCCCAGGAGCACCAAGGUCCUUGGCAGAAGAGAAAUGUUGGGAAGAUAGUGACCUCAUAUACAGCCGGCUCCAGUAUGACUGCAGCAGGACAUCGGCAGAGUCCCGGGUGAUGAGAGAAAAAGCUUCUCAUAUGUCAGAGUGAUCAGCCUUGUGACCUCCCAGAUGAGUUCAUUACAGCUUCCCGAGGAGGAGAACGAGCAGAAGGUGUAGGGCUCUGGACCAUGCUUGAGUUUGUGUUUGUGCAAUUAUGCUUCCCAGUGCUUAAAAGUCUGGGCAUUUUGAGACAUAAAACAAACCCCUUUUUUCAUUUUUGUCUGCCUAGACUUUCAGUUUUCAUCUGUUUUUUUCCAGGGGGCUUCUGGGAUUGUUAAUUGGAUUACAAUGCCUGCCAGGGGGAAGUCACUAAUAUCGGAAUAUAAAAGUGUGUGUGUCAUUUUGAGACGUGUCUGUUUACAUUGUACUAUGGCAUAAUAGACCUCUCCAGAGUAUCUGACCCACCCCCCUCAUACGGGGGCUCAUGCACAUCUACUCCCCCCCAGGGACAG
Paramormyrops kingsleyae is the source of this 562-nucleotide long non-coding RNA. RefSeq lists it as uncharacterized. The record is from RefSeq and is a predicted model, not a curated record. Lineage: Eukaryota; Metazoa; Chordata; Actinopteri; Osteoglossiformes; Mormyridae.